UGGGUGGAAGAGGAAUAAAAGACAUGUAACUUACUGAAGAUUCUUUUCUUUUCUUUUUCUUUUCUUUUUUUCUUUUCUUUUCUUUUCUUUUUUUUUUUUUUUUAGAUUGACAUGGUCUCAAGCCAAGGCAUAAAGCAGGGAGGGGCUUCAGGUGAAGACUGCCGGUUUCAGAUUGAUUUAUCUUAGAGAGCUUGCACGACCAGAGGGCCGUGCAAGGAGGGGCCGAGGGACAAGGAGAGAGGGAGAGAAGUGGACUCCCCAACUGAGCCCAACAGGGCUUGAUCCCACCACCCUGAGAUCAUGACCUGAGCCAAAAUCAAGGGUGGGACACUUAACCGAUUGAGCCACCCAGGGGCCCACUAAGCUAGUGUUUUGGAACUGUAACUUGGCUAACUCCAGGUAAGAGCUCUGUCUGUAACCACUUGCUGACUUAACUCCAGGAGGUGGGGAGCAA
This 454-nucleotide long non-coding RNA is filed under the name Canis lupus familiaris (dog). RNAcentral's name for it is "lncRNA (ENSCAFG00845026676.1)". Lineage: Eukaryota; Metazoa; Chordata; Mammalia; Carnivora; Canidae. The record is from RNAcentral.